This 254-nucleotide ribosomal RNA is filed under the name uncultured bacterium. RNAcentral's name for it is "partial 16S ribosomal RNA". It matches the Rfam family "Bacterial small subunit ribosomal RNA", at positions 524 to 776 of the family's 1533-position model. The record is from RNAcentral.
UACGUAGGGUGCAAGCGUUGUCCGGAAUUAUUGGGCGUAAAGAGCUCGUAGGCGGUUUGUCGCGUCUGCUGUGAAAACCCGAGGCUCAACCUCGGGCCUGCAGUGGGUACGGGCAGACUAGAGUGCGGUAGGGGAGAUUGGAAUUCCUGGUGUAGCGGUGGAAUGCGCAGAUAUCAGGAGGAACACCAAGUGGCGAAGGCAGAUCUCUGGGCCGUAACUGACGCUGAGGAGCGAAAGCAUGGGGAGCGAACAGG